This 463-nucleotide ribosomal RNA is filed under the name uncultured bacterium. RNAcentral's name for it is "partial 16S ribosomal RNA". It matches the Rfam family "Bacterial small subunit ribosomal RNA", at positions 28 to 507 of the family's 1533-position model. The record is from RNAcentral.
GACGAACGCUGGCGGCGUGCUUAACACAUGCAAGUCGAACGGUGAACCUCUUCGGAGGGGCUCAGUGGCGAACGGGUGAGUAACACGUGGGCAACCUGCCCCCGGCUCUGGGGUAACUCCAAGAAAUUGGGGCUAAUACCGGAUGUUCACCGCUUCCCGCAUGGGUGGUGGUGCAAAGGGUUUCCGGCUGGGGAUGGGCCCGCGGCCUAUCAGCCUGUUGGUGGUGUAGUGGCCUACCAAGGCGACGACGGGUAGCCGGCCUGAGAGGGUGAACGGGCACACGGGGACUGAGGGACGGCGCAGACGCCUACGGGAGGCAGCAGUGGGGAACAUUGCGCAAUGGGCGGAAGCCUGACGCGACGACGCCGCGUGCGGGAUGACGUCCUUCGGGUUGUAAACCUCUUUCAGCAGAGACGAAGCGGAAGUGACGGUACCUGCAGAAGAAGCACCGGCCAACUACGUG